Molecule: non-coding RNA, 114 nt
Organism: Acanthosepion pharaonis
Lineage: Eukaryota; Metazoa; Mollusca; Cephalopoda; Sepiida; Sepiidae
Source: the annotation of a GenBank genome assembly
UUGCAGUCAUAUCACGUUGAAACACCAGUUCCUGUCUGAUCACCGAAGUUAAGCAAUGUUGAUCCUGGUCAGUACCUAGCCGGGUGACUGCUUGGGAAUAACAGGUGUUGUAAG